Lemur catta (Ring-tailed lemur) is the source of this 3727-nucleotide long non-coding RNA. RefSeq lists it as uncharacterized. Lineage: Eukaryota; Metazoa; Chordata; Mammalia; Primates; Lemuridae. The record is from RefSeq and is a predicted model, not a curated record. The transcript has 3 exons.
UGACCUUGAGCGAUCUUCCCGCCUCGGCCUCUCAGAGUGCUGGGAUUACAGGCGUAAGCCACCGUGCCCAGCCUGUCUUGAAACUUUAAAACCUGUCCCUUUGCUGUUUUCUCCCCAGUUGCCCAGCCCACGCGGUUGUCAAAGUGACACGGCGCAAGAGUACCAGGCCUGCGCAGCCUGGAGCCGCUGGGGGGGGGGGCACCAGCUCCUCCGAUUUGCCGAGUAUGAGCAUCUGCCCUCAAUUUUGCAGCUGUGCUCAGUCUUGGUAUGACCUACCCGGGGGGCCACUUCCACGGGGGCUGUGCCCCCCACCCUUGAAGAGGAAACAGAGGUACGAGGAUGUUGUUCUGGGCUUGGGUUUCUGCCACCUUUAAAACGAGAGACAAAAAUCUCCGGAUUUGCUGAGCCCUGGCACGGGGCAGUGCCAGGGUGGCAUGGUUUACUAAGCUACACAGGCCACGUAUUUCCAAGGAGUGGCUAAGUGUGGCCUAAAUGUAUGUCCUAACGUUGUGGUUGCUUUUUUCAGAGUUGGUUUCAAGUUAAAAAGGAAGUUUAAUGUGCAUUUUUACGAAAUGGCUCGAGGCAAGUGCAGAAUAAGACGCAGGGUGCGAAUCCAUUGGGAUCUUCCGGGAGUGACUGGCUCCAGAGGGAGACCGAGACUGGAGGCUGCUAAGUGACUGGGCAACGUGGGAGGAGAACUUCAGAGAGGCCCUCACCCUCUGCCAGAGUGAGACCCAGACGCCAUUUGUGCACGUCUGUCUGCAUUCGCUCACCUGUUCCAUGCGGGCAGACAGCACGGGACACGGGCCAGGCCUCCCCGUGUGCUGGGAACAGAACCGUGAACAGACCGGAUUACGUGGACUAAAUAAACAGAAGAGAAAAGCCCCCAUCAUCCUGCCCCUUCCUGUGAGUCCGGUACAUAUUUUCCCAGGUUCCUCACUGCAGCUGAAACAUCUGUACACAGGUAAUACACAAGUAACACCCUAAUCACGGUUUUGCCGCCGAAAUGUGAACAUGCUGUGUGUCUCAGUAUGACUCGGGCUGCCACAGCCAACUCCACCGUCUGGGCGGCUGGGAAGUCUGAGAUCGAGGUCUGGCACCCCCGUCUCGGGUGAGGGGGUGGGACACGCCGGUCUCGGGUGAGGGGCCGUGGCAGCCUGUCUCUUACUGGCUGCAGACGGCCGCCUUCUUGCUGUGUCCUCACGUGGCGGAGACAGCGUUCUCUGGUCUCUUCCUCUCCUUGUGACACAGCCCUAUUCAGUCCGGGCUCCACCCUUAUGUCCCUUCAGCCUCUCCAGACAGUCACAGCGGGGGUGGGGGCCUUCACAUAGGCAUCUGGGGGACACGGUUGAGGCCACAGCACUGUGCACCCUGUUCACUCGGUGCGUCUGCAUCCCUCUCCCUGGCAGCGCAAAGCCGCCCCUCCACCACUGCGGGGUGAAACCUGACAGCUGUGUCCCUGGCGGGUGGGCAUCUGCUGUCACCCACGCAGACCCAGCGACGUGUGUCUGGGCCGUCUCUUCCUGGAGGCAGGACUCUGUUUCAGUUACUAGGUAGCGCGAGACACUCCCACGCCUGUUCUGUGGGACGUUCUGCAGGCAGCACCUCUGAAUCCAGUGGCCCCGAGUAUCCACCAGCUCCAGCAACACCGGAGGUGAGCAGCCGCUGUGACACCACUCUGGUUGGAGGAUGGUAAAUCCUGGGAGGCUUCCUGGAGGAGGUGGCUUUCAAAGUAUCAGUAAUAGGGAGACGUGUGCCAAGGAGGAGGAACCGUGGAAAACAGGACUUGGAGCAGACAACCCGCCAGUUUCAAUGUGUGCACAUACUUGGUUCUUCUGUCCCUGCCCGGAAGACUUCAGCCCCGAGGAAGGGCCGCGGGCCGCGCCGCACUCACUCCACACUCAGGACCCGGACACGCCUGUCACAACCGGCAUCUCCUUACUGCAACUCCAGACUUAGUUCCCAAGUGUAGCUGCGGUUCCCUAAAACCACCCAGCACGGGCGAGACCGGGACACCUGGACUGGUGCAGCCUCCGCUGGGGGAGGCCUUGACCAUCUCAGGGAAAGUCUCAACUGCCCCUCGCAGCAGAGGGUCAGUCUCCGCGCCCCAGGACAGGGUCUCACUGCCCACGGCGCUGCCCCCCCCAAGGCUCAUCCCCACUCCCGCCGAGGUGCUGCCCCCCGCCCCUUCCACAGAGCCCCCCCAGGCCCUGUCCCUGGAGAAUCCAGCUUCCAGCCUCCCACACCCACGUCCGGCGAGGAGGAGACAGGCACAGGCCUGCAGCCGUUCAGGAUCGUGACUCUGGGGACGCCUGGGUCAAACCACGGCCCGGCCCUGGGCCUCCUGCAGUGCCGGUCUCACCCCUAUGGCCCCGGCGGGGAAGGGAGGGUGGGGCUCGCAGAGUCAGGGGGCACCACCCUGGUUGGCAUUCUGUCUGGCAGCGCCCAGGCGGAAACCGGGAGCCGCCGCACCGAGGCAGGCUGAGGAUGGGCGCGGAGGACGCUGCUCUGGGGCCCAGGCCUGCAGCAGGGUCUCCACAAGGCCAGGUCCCCGGUCCUUUCCCCCGUGGGGCUGGGCAGCCCCAAGGCAGGCGAAGGCUCCUAGUGGGCCCGAGACCACCCCGGGCACAGCCCGCACGGGGCAGGGGAAGGCGCUGACCAGCACCAACCGCUUCCCAUUUCUCACAUAGUUCCAAAGGCCACAGAAGUGGGGCCAGUCGCGAGCAUCUACAAAGACCCCCCACACCUCCCAGGCUGCGGCUGCUCGCAGGGGCCGCGGCCAAGCCUGGGUGCUGCGGCCCAGGUCGCCGCUACAGGGAGGGGCUGCCAGUUGGCUGCAGCCGUUUUUCUAACUAGGGGGAAGGUUUUUACUCAGCAACACCUGGAGCUGCUGAAGUCACCCAGGUGGGUCCCCGUGACGCAAGCCUGACACGCUGCCAGGCCAUGGGCGGGUGAGCUCACCGGGCAGCCAGACGCGCACGCCCCGAGCUGCAGCAACAUGCCUCGCGCCCACACCGCUCCUCGCGGGUGUGUCCUGCCUCCAGCAUGUCGCUGGCCCCCAAAACCACCGCAGACAGGAGAGGGGAGCCCCCCACGCAAUGCCACCUCCCUCGCCGAGGUCUUGCUUUAGAAUCUCUUCCUGCCUCUGGGACCAGGUUAAACCGGCCGUUCCCUGCAAAGGCUGAGUCCACAGGAGACUCGCGGGCAAGACGUUAAAGAGCACAGUUCUGCAACGGGCGUGGGCUCCCACUGCGGCCCACGUGCCCCACCCGUGGCCCUGGCACCCGCGCAGGGGCUUCACCUGCUCCUCAGUUAAGCAAGCAUGGGGACAAAUGCCUGCGCCGUGGGCUGCGGGUUAGGUUAGGGCGGCCACCAUCUCCCCACAAGAGUGCAAGGUGAGAAACUUGCCAGGAUGCCGAUUUAUCAGAGCAAGCGGCUUGGGUGACACAAACCCAAGGUGAUCCUAAAGUUGCUCACGUUUUGGCGAGGACGCAACGGUCUGAGAACUCCGGAAGCUGCACCGAGGCUCAGAUCUCGGGGCCUGGCCCGCUGGGCUCCCAGCCCCAGGGCUGUGCUGCAGCCUGUCCAGAGGGCAGCCGUGCCGUGCCGUGCUGUGCCGCUGGCCACCCUGAGUUCAGAGCUGGGGAUGCCACAGGGAGAAGGGAGAGGAGAGGGAGGUGCCGCGUGGGAAAGCGCCGCGGAGCCUGGCUGGGCCCCCCAGGGCCGA